This 1095-nucleotide ribosomal RNA is filed under the name Halomonas sp. NCCP-974. RNAcentral describes it as "bacterial SSU rRNA". It matches the Rfam family "Bacterial small subunit ribosomal RNA", at positions 56 to 1143 of the family's 1533-position model. Lineage: Bacteria; Pseudomonadati; Pseudomonadota; Gammaproteobacteria; Oceanospirillales; Halomonadaceae. The record is from RNAcentral.
UGCAGUCGAGCGGAACGAUCCUAGCUUGCUAGGAGGCGUCGAGCGGCGGACGGGUGAGUAAUGCAUAGGAAUCUGCCCGGUAGUGGGGGAUAACUUGAGGAAACUCAAGCUAAUACCGCAUACGCCCUACGGGGGAAAGCAGGGGCUCUUCGGACCUUGCGCUAUCGGAUGAGCUUAUGUCGGAUUAGCUGGUUGGUGAGGUAACGGCUCACCAAGGCGACGAUCCGUAGCUGGUCUGAGAGGAUGAUCAGCCACAUCGGGACUGAGACACGGCCCGAACUCCUACGGGAGGCAGCAGUGGGGAAUAUUGGACAAUGGGGGCAACCCUGAUCCAGCCAUGCCGCGUGUGUGAAGAAGGCCCUCGGGUUGUAAAGCACUUUCAGCGAGGAAGAAUGCUUGUCGGUUAAUACCCGGCAAGGGAGACAUCACUCGCAGAAGAAGCACCGGCUAACUCCGUGCCAGCAGCCGCGGUAAUACGGAGGGUGCGAGCGUUAAUCGGAAUUACUGGGCGUAAAGCGUGCGUAGGCGGCUUGAUAAGCCGGUUGUGAAAGCCCCGGGCUCAACCUGGGAACGGCAUCCGGAACUGUUAGGCUAGAGUGCAGGAGAGGAAGGUAGAAUUCCCGGUGUAGCGGUGAAAUGCGUAGAGAUCGGGAGGAAUACCAGUGGCGAAGGCGGCCUUCUGGACUGACACUGACGCUGAGGUACGAAAGCGUGGGUAGCAAACAGGAUUAGAUACCCUGGUAGUCCACGCCGUAAACGAUGUCGACUAGCCGUUGGGGUCCUCGAGACCUUUGUGGCGCAGUUAACGCACUAAGUCGACCGCCUGGGGAGUACGGCCGCAAGGUUAAAACUCAAAUGAAUUGACGGGGGCCCGCACAAGCGGUGGAGCAUGUGGUUUAAUUCGAUGCAACGCGAAGAACCUUACCUACCCUUGACAUCGUGCGAACUUUCCAGAGAAUGGAUUGGUGCCUUCGGGAGCGCACAGACAGGUGCUGCAUGGCUGUCGUCAGCUCGUGUUGUGAAAUGUUGGGGUUAAGUCCCGUAACGAGCGCAACCCUUGUCCCUAUUUGCCAGCGAUUCGGUCGGGAACUCUAA